AGGGUGUAAACGCUGCGGACUUGGUGUUGGGGGCCCUUUGGGGGCAUUCAGUGCCGGAGAGAAGUUGUUAAGUCUGCUACUUGGGAGUACGUCCGCAAGGAUGAAACUUAAAGGAAUUGGCGGGGGAGCACCGCAACGGGAGGAGCGUGCGGUUUAAUUGGAUUCAACACCGUAAACUCACCAGGGAAGACUGUUACAUGAAGGCCGAGAUGAAGACUCUGCUAGAUUUUCAGAGAGGUGGUGCAUGGCGUCAGUGACU
This 259-nucleotide ribosomal RNA is filed under the name uncultured archaeon. RNAcentral describes it as "partial 16S ribosomal RNA". It matches the Rfam family "Archaeal small subunit ribosomal RNA", at positions 748 to 1008 of the family's 1478-position model. The record is from RNAcentral.